GAUGAAGAACGUAGCGAAAUGCGAUAAGUAAUGUGAAUUGCAGAAUUCAGUGAAUCAUCGGAUCUUUGAACGCACAUUGCGCCCGCCAGUAUUCUGGCGGGCAUGCCUGUUCGAGCGUCAUUACAACCCUCAGGCCCCCGGGCCUGGCGUUGGGGAUCGGCGGAAGCCCCCUGCGGGCACAACGCCGUCCCCCAAAUACAGUGGCGGUCCCGCCGCAGCUUCCAUUGCGUAGUAGCUAACACCUCGCAACUGGAGAGCGGCGCGGCCACGCCGUAAAACACCCAACUUCUGAAUGUUGACCUCGAAUCAGGUAGGAAUACCCGCUGAACUUAAGCAUAUCAAUAAGCGGAGGA
RNAcentral lists this unclassified non-coding RNA (353 nucleotides) under soil metagenome. Its description in RNAcentral is "partial contains 5.8S ribosomal RNA, internal transcribed spacer 2, and large subunit ribosomal RNA". The stretch from base 1 to 120 matches the Rfam family "5.8S ribosomal RNA", at positions 35 to 154 of the family's 154-position model. The record is from RNAcentral.